GACGUAGGGCGCGAGCGUUGUCCGGAUUUAUUGGGCGUAAAGAGCUCGUAGGCGGCUUGUCGCGUCGACUGUGAAAACCCGCGGCUCAACCGUGUGGUCUGCAGUCGAUACGGGCAGGCUAGAGUUCGGUAGGGGGAGACUGGAAUUCCUGGUGUAGCGGUGAAAAUGCGCAGAUAUCAGGAGGAACACCGGUGGCGAAGGCGGGGUC
This 208-nucleotide ribosomal RNA is filed under the name uncultured bacterium. RNAcentral describes it as "partial 16S ribosomal RNA". It matches the Rfam family "Bacterial small subunit ribosomal RNA", at positions 524 to 728 of the family's 1533-position model. The record is from RNAcentral.